RNAcentral lists this ribosomal RNA (337 nucleotides) under uncultured bacterium. RNAcentral's name for it is "bacterial SSU rRNA". It matches the Rfam family "Bacterial small subunit ribosomal RNA", at positions 28 to 334 of the family's 1533-position model. The record is from RNAcentral.
GAUGAACGCCGGCGGUGUGCCUAAUACAUGCAAGUCGUACGCACUGGCCCAACUGAUUGAUGGUGCUUGCACCUGAUUGACGAUGGAUCACCAGUGAGUGGCGGACGGGUGAGUAACACGUAGGUAACCUGCCCCGGAGCGGGGGAUAACAUUUGGAAACAGAUGCUAAUACCGCAUAAUGCAGUUGGGCCGCAUGGCUCUGACUGCCAAAGAUUUAUCGCUCUGAGAUGGCCUCGCGUCUGAUUAGCUAGUUGGUGGGGUAACGGCCCACCAAGGCGACGAUCAGUAGCCGGACUGAGAGGUUGGCCGGCCACAUUGGGACUGAGACACGGCCCAG